UUUCCGUAGGUGAACCUGCGGAAGGAUCAUUAAUGAGUUGUCAUGGGGUUCGAUGCUGGCAGCCAAUUUUUGGAUGCAUGUGCUUGCCCUAACAAUCAUCUUCCAAACACCUGUGCACAUCUUUGAGGGAGUCUUGAGUUGGUUGCCGCUCUUGGGUGAUUUUCUCACAUUCCCUUAAAUCAUUAAACGCUAUUAACAAUGUUGAACGUGCUCUGUGCCGCAAGGCUAUUAAUAUAAUACAACUUUUAACAACGGAUCUCUUGGCUCUC
RNAcentral lists this unclassified non-coding RNA (269 nucleotides) under plant metagenome. RNAcentral's name for it is "partial contains small subunit ribosomal RNA, internal transcribed spacer 1, and 5.8S ribosomal RNA". The record is from RNAcentral.